Molecule: long non-coding RNA, 3336 nt
Organism: Oryzias javanicus (javanese ricefish)
Lineage: Eukaryota; Metazoa; Chordata; Actinopteri; Beloniformes; Adrianichthyidae
Source: Ensembl
AUGGAUAUAAAAGUAAUUUCUUCUCGUGGUUUGUCAUCUUUAUGCCUGUUCAAUAGUUUAAAUGGUGAAAUGUUGAUCUUUUAAACAACAGGGUGGAAGGAAAGAUCAGUGUGAUACGAGAGUGCUCCCUCACAGUUACCCCCAGAGGCCCGAGCCCACCCUGUCGCUCCUCCGUUUGACCCCUGGGUCCUCGAUGGCCCGGCUGCCUGGCGUUUCCUGCGGUUGUGAGGUGGAGCAGGCCGGAGCCUCCACCUAUAGCAACAGACACCUGCAGCAGAUCAGCAACAGAAGAAUUACAGACGUCUUUGACCUCUUCCUCACUCAGAGCAGCUACCUCCUUCACACUGAGCAUACCUGCAAAAUGUCUCCCGCUGAGGUACUGGGAGUCAUUUUGGAGGAGGAGACAUCAGCCUGCCAGCUGCAUUGCUUCUUCAGCAACCUCCUGUCCUCAGGACACAGAAGUCACGUGGAGAAACACCUCAGGCGGUUACCCAAAGCCAGACUUAAAGAGUCCUUUGACACUAAGAAGAGCAAAAAGAAAGAUGGAAGCUCCUCUGUGGUGCCAUGUAAGUGUUUCUUUUAAUCAUUUAUUGUGUUUGAUAAUUUAUAUCAUUAUGAUGUCAUAUCUCACAGGCGAUGUUUCUAAGUAGGGCUGCCCCAAACAGUUAUUUUAACUGUCGACUAAUCAGUGAUUUUUGAAUAAAAUGAAGUCGGCAUCUGAAACAAAGAAAUUAUUUUUCACAGAAUAUAAAGUUUUGGUCUCACUAACUUAAAUAUAGCAAAUGUGCAUUUUGUAGUGCUGAGCAAUCACAACUGUAUUCAACUUCACUACAACUGACUAUAUAAUUCCAAACUGUACAAUGCUCUUACUCGUCGUCAGGAAAGUUAGCAUUUCUACACACCUUGCAGGAAGACUUGAUCUCUUUUGAGAGCAGAUGUUCCCUUCAGCAGAGAAUGUUUGCUCCAAUGGGGUAGAGGUUGUAGGGAUGCACAGAAAACAUUUAGCUAAUAAGUUUGUGCUAAAGUUAGCUUAGCUUACUUAGACAAUGAUCCCUCUUCAGCACAAUGGAACACAAGUUUUGCCUUGCAGAUAGUGCAUUGGACACUUUUGUCUUUUGUUUUUUUAUGUCUCCCACUUUCAAGCUCUGUUGGCAUUUUGGUAUGGUACCCGAGUCUUCCUACAAAUUCCUGUGACAUCAGAACAGAGCCGGAUUAGCGCAUGUGUGUCAAAGACGAUGGCAGGGGCAGCAUUAGAAAAAAAAGACCGAUUUACUAUUAAACUACUUGUUGACUAGUUUGAAAGUUGAUUGAGUUGUGACUAAUCAACUAAUCGUGGCCACCCUAAUUCUAAGAUUAUUUUUUUGGCAUUCAACCUCAGAUUUGGUGCUAAUUCUUAUCCUUUACUGGUUUACACUACACAAAGCCCAGUAGGAUAUAGGUCAGAGCUUGAUGAAGGACCACAUCAUCUCCAAACAGCAGAGGCAGAGUUCCAAGGCUCCGAAAGCCAAAGUUUCUUUCUGGUGGGGGGUGGUAACAUGUCGGUAGAUGAUAGAUAAGUUCAUGAAGAGGGCUGGUUAGUCUCUAGUUUUUAUUUAGACUCUUUUAAAGUUUGAGAUUUAUGUAGAAACCACUUAAAGUUUGUUGUCUGUGUUUCCAAGUUUAUCUGCUCAAGAUAAUAAAUGAACUCAGAUGAAAGUAGAACUCGAACCAGCUCAGCAGUAAAGGGUCUUAUGUAGCUUCAGUGUGCAUGACUUUGGGGUUGCAGAUAUUUUCUAAUUGUUACUUUUUUAUGCAUGUGGCCUCCUUUCUCCUCCCCUCAUGGUUUCUGUUUCUGCAGCACGACGAGCCAGCAUGGACCAAACCCCUCCACCUGCCGUCCAGGACGCCUUGUCCUCCACGGUCAGUUCCUCUUCUGUCAGUCAGAUUCUGAUGACACUGAUGAUCAAAUCAUAACCAGAUGAUGAUGAGACUAACACAUCAGAGGAACAGAAACACACAACACACUUUGUCAUCAUUUACUGAACAGAACUGAGACAAAAGAAGGAGGAUUGUUUGCAUCAGUGCAGACCUCCACGAGCGUUUCAGGUGUUUUGUCCAAGCAUGCUGAGAGCAAAGUCAUCCGAGCAGAUCUUUGAGAAAUACCUGCUGCAAAUCCACAUGUGAGGAUUAUUCCAUCGAUCCACUGUCCAUCACUCUGCAGAGAGGAAGACACUCAUCCCACCAGAGGGUUUUUUAGCAAGUUCAGCUCCAAAUUAAGACCGUGUGAUGCAGAAGACCCAAGAGCCUCAUCCCAGACUCUGUAGACUUCAAUGAGCAUGCUCGUGUCAGAGUCCAUGAGUACUGAAUCUAUUUACUGUGUGAGUUUAAAGCUGGAAAAACCAGCACCUCAGAGUUCACAAGGACGUGAUGAAGGGAGAACUCUGUUCUCUGAAUGGGUCUCAGGUUCUCUUUCCCAGCAGGGGGGGUUGACCUCAGGGGUUUUCUCUGCAGGCUUUGUUCACAUCAAAGCUUUAGUCAAAUCAUCGAUUUCUUGUCUUCUCAACUACUUUUGUGCGUCUCUUUAUGUCUUCUUUUACCUGACAACCAGGAUGAGCCCUCAGUGGGGAUUCAUGACAUUCAGGACUGGAGGAGGCUGAACCCUGAGCCCUCCUCCCCUGAGUCGAUCAUCAAAGAGGACGCUGCCCUGCAAGAUGGACCCGCCUUCACUCAGUAAGUCUGAAUCAUUUAUGCUAUGUACAGAUGCAGCUUUCACGCCUGGGGUAACACGUUUGCAUGAGCUUUAAAGCAUGGACAGAUGUGCUACAUCAGGCUGUUAGGGGCUGCAGGUUCUUUACAGAUAUCACAGAACUGAUCCAGAAAACAUCCCUCCUAUUGGAUGCACCUGAAGGCAUCCCACGGUGUGGUCAGAAUUACAGAAACUAUGUGAAACUGAAAAGUUUACAGGGUUUGGAGCGACUCAAACAAAAUUCAUCUACCCAUCUUUUCAAUGCUGAGAAACUGUAGCUUUAAAUUUGAAUGCUUUAUGAUUCCACGUCAACAGCCUGGUUCUUUUGGUUGUCUGAAGUAAAACAAGGAGGCCAAGAAUGGAAGGAAAAUGUAUAGAAAAAGACGAGGAUCAUUCUUUGGUUUACCAAGGAUUAGGACACAGAGACAGAACUUUUGUGUGUAAACACACCAUAUGCAGCUACAUACAAGGACAAGAUCUUUAGAAGGUUUGUUUCUAAAUGUUACAUGCUGUGGAUCCUCUUAUGUGCAACCAUCAACACAUAAUAAGACUAUACAGGUGGAUUUCUCACUGACCAGGGCCCAUGAGGAGUCACAAAGUCUGACUUCACC